RNAcentral lists this long non-coding RNA (1019 nucleotides) under Phascolarctos cinereus (koala). Its description in RNAcentral is "lncRNA (ENSPCIG00000023698.2)". The record is from RNAcentral. Lineage: Eukaryota; Metazoa; Chordata; Mammalia; Diprotodontia; Phascolarctidae.
ACCUUUUUUCUUGUUUUCUCUUUUAGGUAGUGCCAUUUCCCUGUAGCAAGAGGAAAGCAAGCUGCAGAACAGCCAAGACCUCUGCACACCCACCUUGAGGCUCAUCUUGAGAAAUCCAGAAUGUUUUUCAAAGAGAUGAAGGGCCGGCAGCGGGAUUUAGAGCUGCAGCGGCAGAGAGGUGAGCGCAAAAUCCAGCAGCUGCAGCAGAUGAUCGCUGAGCUCGAGAAGGACAAGGGCUUUGGACCCAGAGCCUGGCAGGAGCAUGGUGCUGGGGAGGCCCUUCCCCCUGCCCUGGAGAAGCUUCAGGGGCAUCACAGUCAGCUGGAGAACUUCAGGCAGCAGCUGCUGCAUGUGGCUGGGCUUCUGACCAGCUUCAUAAACCAAACCCUUAACAGAACAAUCAAUGACUGGACAUCAUGAGAUAAAGGGGCUGCAACGUCCUUGCUGUUUAUUCUGGAGGAAUUGAAAUCAGAAUUGAUGUCAGGCCUCACUCAAAUAAGUUGGAGCCACAGUCCUCAUUGGAAAUGAGUGAGGCCCCCAAGGGAAGUGGGAGAGAUAUCCUUGCCCACCAUGCUGUGACUAGGUGGCAAAUGUGUCAGAUGCGGGGUCUCCUGCUCCUUCCUCUGAAGUCUGCCUUUGAAAAAAAAUUUUAAAAAGGCCAGCUGGUGAUGCCCAGUGGCAGGAGGAAGAAGUUGCUCCUCUUUGUCUUGGGGAUGCUGUUGCUUGUGGCUUCGCUGGCUCAUGGUGCUUGCUAUUUCUACCCCUCUGGACUCCAUAACAUCCAUCCUGCUAUGCUCUCCUGGUGGGCAGCCAAGGGUAGCAGCAGGAGAGAGGACAUGUGGGAAUCAGGAGAAUUCACCCCAUAUUUGCAGGUGAGCCCUGAGUGCCAGGAACUUUGCACAGGACACAGACACCACUCACCAUCCAGUUCAUUCUCUUUAACUAGGGUUACUCAGCCAAGCAGCACUUAUAAGCAUGGCCUACUGUGGGUCAGGUGCUGUCCUAAAGCAAAACCAAAC